Molecule: ribosomal RNA, 497 nt
Filed under: uncultured bacterium
Lineage: Bacteria
Description: partial 16S ribosomal RNA
Rfam family: Bacterial small subunit ribosomal RNA
Source: RNAcentral
GACGAACGCUAGCGGCGUGCCUAAUACAUGCAAGUUGAGCGCUGAAGGUUGGUACUUGUACCAACUGGAUGAGCAGCGAACGGGUGAGUAACGCGUGGGGAAUCUGCCUUUGAGCGGGGGACAACAUUUGGAAACGAAUGCUAAUACCGCAUAAAAACUUUAAACACAAGUUUUAAGUUUGAAAGAUGCAAUUGCAUCACUCAAAGAUGAUCCCGCGUUGUAUUAGCUAGUUGGUGAGGUAAAGGCUCACCAAGGCGAUGAUACAUAGCCGACCUGAGAGGGUGAUCGGCCACAUUGGGACUGAGACACGGCCCAAACUCCUACGGGAGGCAGCAGUAGGGAAUCUUCGGCAAUGGACGAAAGUCUGACCGAGCAACGCCGCGUGAGUGAAGAAGGUUUUCGGAUCGUAAAACUCGGUUGGUAGAGAAGAACGUUGGUGAGAGUGGAAAGCUCAUCAAGUGACGGUAACUACCCAGAAAGGGACGGCUAACUACGUG